GGAUGUAUGGCUCAGUGGUAUAACACUUGCUUACUAGGCAAAAAUUCCUGAGUUCAAAUCUAAGUACAGCCA
RNAcentral lists this transfer RNA (72 nucleotides) under Dipodomys ordii (Ord's kangaroo rat). It matches the Rfam family "tRNA". From Rfam's summary of the family: Transfer RNA (tRNA) molecules are approximately 80 nucleotides in length. Their secondary structure includes four short double-helical elements and three loops (D, anti-codon, and T loops). Further hydrogen bonds mediate the characteristic L-shaped molecular structure. tRNAs have two regions of fundamental functional importance: the anti-codon, which is responsible for specific mRNA codon recognition, and the 3' end, to which the tRNAs corresponding amino acid is attached (by aminoacyl-tRNA synthetases). tRNAs cope with the degeneracy of the genetic code in two manners: having more than one tRNA (with a specific anti-codon) for a particular amino acid; and 'wobble' base-pairing, i.e. permitting non-standard base-pairing at the 3rd anti-codon position. Lineage: Eukaryota; Metazoa; Chordata; Mammalia; Rodentia; Heteromyidae. The record is from Rfam by way of RNAcentral.